AUUGAACGCUGGCGGCAGGCCUAACACAUGCAAGUCGAACGGUAACAGGAAACAGCUUGCUGUUUCGCUGACGAGUGGCGGACGGGUGAGUAAUGUCUGGGCAACUGCCUGAUGGAGGGGGAUAACUACUGGAAACGGUAGCUAAUACCGCAUAACGUCGCAAGACCAAAGAGGGGGACCUUCGGGCCUCUUGCCAUCGGGUGUGCCCAGAUGGGAUGAGCUAGUAGGGGGGGUAACGGCUCACCUAGGCGACGAGCCCUAGCUGGUGUGAGAGGGUGAGCAGCCACCCUGGAAGUGAGACACGGUCCAGACUCCUACGGGAGGCAGCAGUGGGGAAUAUUGCACAAUGGGCGCAAGCCUGAUGCAGCCAUGCCGCGUGUAUGAAGAAGGCCUUCGGGUUGUAAAGUACUUUCAGCGGGGAUGAAGGGAGUAAAGUUAAUACCUUGGCUCAUUGACGUUACCCGCAGAAGAAGCACCGGCUAACUCCGUG
RNAcentral lists this ribosomal RNA (490 nucleotides) under uncultured bacterium. Its description in RNAcentral is "partial 16S ribosomal RNA". It matches the Rfam family "Bacterial small subunit ribosomal RNA", at positions 30 to 507 of the family's 1533-position model. The record is from RNAcentral.